UGGGGAAUCUUAGACAAUGGGGGCAACCCUGAUCUAGCCAUGCCGCGUGAGUGAUGAAGGCCUUAGGGUCGUAAAGCUCUUUCGCUGGGGAAGAUAAUGACGGUACCCAGUAAAGAAACCCCGGCUAACUCCGUGCCAGCAGCCGCGGUAAUACGGAGGGGGUUAGCGUUGUUCGGAAUUACUGGGCGUAAAGCGCGCGUAGGCGGACUGGAAAGUUGGGGGUGAAAUCCCGGGGCUCAACCUCGGAACUGCCUCCAAAACUAUCAGUCUAGAGUUCGAGAGAGGUGAGUGGAACUCCGAGUGUAGAGGUGAAAUUCGUAGAUAUUCGGAAGAACACCAGUGGCGAAGGCGGCUCACUGGCUCGAUACUGACGCUGAGGUGCGAAAGUGUGGGGAGCAAACAGG
This 404-nucleotide ribosomal RNA is filed under the name uncultured bacterium. Its description in RNAcentral is "bacterial SSU rRNA". It matches the Rfam family "Bacterial small subunit ribosomal RNA", at positions 355 to 776 of the family's 1533-position model. The record is from RNAcentral.